UACGGGGGGUGCAAGCGUCAUUCGGAAUCAUUGGGCGUAAAGGGCGCGUAGGCGGCCCCUUAAGUCAGAUGUGAAAGCCCUCAGCUUAACUGAGGAAGUGCAUUUGAAACUAAGGGGCUUGAGUAUGGGAGAGGGAAGCGGAAUUCCUGGUGUAGCGGUGAAAUGCGUAGAUAUCAGGAGGAACACCGGUGGCGAAGGCGGCUUCCGGGACCAAUACUGACGCUGAGGCGCGAAGGCGUGGGGAGCAAACAGG
This 253-nucleotide ribosomal RNA is filed under the name uncultured bacterium. RNAcentral's name for it is "partial 16S ribosomal RNA". It matches the Rfam family "Bacterial small subunit ribosomal RNA", at positions 524 to 776 of the family's 1533-position model. The record is from RNAcentral.